Long non-coding RNA from Zea mays, 515 nucleotides. RefSeq lists it as uncharacterized. The record is from RefSeq and is a predicted model, not a curated record. The transcript is spliced from 3 exons. Lineage: Eukaryota; Viridiplantae; Streptophyta; Magnoliopsida; Poales; Poaceae.
AAGUUUGCAGAUGAAGAUAUGAUGCUGAACUCCAUGGAUGCUAGUCUAGUGAUACCCCCGAUCACCUUCCUGUGGAUGGAUGUCCUUGUUCCGCUGUACUUUGAUGAAUAAAGGUCUCAUGCUCAACUCAAAUUGUUUCAAAGAGGAGGACUUGAGGUGUUACAUAAAGAGAAGAGAAGGAGGGUCUCAUCUUCAGGAAAUACAUCAGCCAUGGGUAACAAUGAUUUAAGUGGAGCACAAACAUCGAAUGAUAGUGCAAUGAAAGUGCAGCUCCUGGAGGGAGGGGAAGAGGAAGGGGAAGGGGAAGGGGAAGAGGAGGAAGAGGGAGGCUAGCAACAUUACUUGGGUUUGAGUGGUUAUGGGACUUAUAUGCUAGGUGCCUUCUUUUGUAUGAACAUGAACAUGUGAUGAUUAUGGACCUUCUGUAAUGAUUAUGAGAAUUAUGUUGUACUCAUAAUGAGCUCAUGUUGGACUUGCUGUGUUGGUUUUGAUUGAACUUGUUUAUGCUUGUGUUU